CAUAGGUUAAUGAGGCGAACCGGGGGAACUGAAACAUCUAAGUACCCCGAGGAAAAGAAAUCAACCGAGAUUCCCCCAGUAGCGGCGAGCGAACGGGGAGCAGCCCAGAGCCUGAAUCAGUGUGUGUGUUAGUGGAAGCGUCUGGAAAGGCGCGCGAUACAGGGUGACAGCCCCGUACACAAAAAUGCACAUGCUGUGAGCUCGAUGAGUAGGGCGGGACACGUGGUAUCCUGUCUGAAUAUGGGGGGACCAUCCUCCAAGGCUAAAUACUCCUGACUGACCGAUAGUGAACCAGUACCGUGAGGGAAAGGCGAAAAGAACCCCGGCGAGGGGAGUGAAAAAGAACCUGAAACCGUGUACGUACAAGCAGUGGGAGCACGCUUAGGCGUGUGACUGCGUACCUUUUGUAUAAUGGGUCAGCGACUUAUAUUCUGUAGCAAGGUUAACCGAAUAGGGGAGCCGAAGGGAAACCGAGUCUUAACUGGGCGUUAAGUUGCAGGGUAUAGACCCGAAACCCGGUGAUCUAGCCAUGGGCAGGUUGAAGGUUGGGUAACACUAACUGGAGGACCGAACCGACUAAUGUUGAAAAAUUAGCGGAUGACUUGUGGCUGGGGGUGAAAGGCCAAUCAAACCGGGAGAUAGCUGGUUCUCCCCGAAAGCUAUUUAGGUAGCGCCUCGUGAAUUCAUCUCCGGGGGUAGAGCACUGUUUCGGCAAGGGGGUCAUCCCGACUUACCAACCCGAUGCAAACUACGAAUACCGGAGAAUGUUAUCACGGGAGACACACGG
Molecule: ribosomal RNA, 787 nt
Filed under: Shigella sonnei
Lineage: Bacteria; Pseudomonadati; Pseudomonadota; Gammaproteobacteria; Enterobacterales; Enterobacteriaceae
Description: partial 23S ribosomal RNA
Rfam family: Bacterial large subunit ribosomal RNA
Source: RNAcentral